RNAcentral lists this unclassified non-coding RNA (316 nucleotides) under Hevea brasiliensis (rubber tree). Lineage: Eukaryota; Viridiplantae; Streptophyta; Magnoliopsida; Malpighiales; Euphorbiaceae. The record is from RNAcentral.
CUCUGCAGCAUUAAGUGCUUCAAUGCUUUCUGUUGCAUUAUCAUAGGCUUGUACAGCAGCAACACAAUCAUUUCCUAGCUUUGCCAAGGCAUUUUGCUCAGUCGGGUUGUCAUGAUAUGAUUGUGCAACAGUGAACAGAUGUAUAAAAAAUUCUUUUGUGAAAUCUUUGCGACGCCUAGUAACAACUUCACUAAUCUUUGAUGGUUCCUUCUUGAUCACUUCAAUAAGUUCAUUAUGCCUUUGCACAUCUUCGUCGAUCUCUUUCAGCUUCCUUGCAAGCCUGAGUAGCUUAUGCUUCAUCCCAGGAUCACGCUCA